CCUACGGGGGGCAGCAGUGAGGAAUAUUGGUCAAUGGCCGAGAGGCUGAACCAGCCAAGUCGCGUGAGGGAAGACGGCCCUACGGGUUGUAAACCUCUUUUGUCGGGGAGCAAAGCGAGGCACGUGUGCUUCUUUGAGUGUACCCGAUGACAAAGCAUCGGCUAACUCCGUGCCAGCAGCCGCGGUAAUACGGAGGAUGCGAGCGUUAUCCGGAUUUAUUGGGUUUAAAGGGUGCGCAGGCGGAUGUGAACGUCAGCGGUCAAAUUUCGGGGCUCAACCCCGUACUGCCGUUGAAACUGCAUCCCUUGAGUGCGCGAGAAGUAUGCGGAAUGCGUGGUGUAGCGGUGAAAUGCAUAGAUAUCACGCAGAACUCCGAUUGCGAAGGCAGCAUACCGGCGCGCAACUGACGCUGAUGCACGAAAGCGUGGGUAUCGAACAGGAUUAGAUACCCGAGUAGUC
RNAcentral lists this ribosomal RNA (459 nucleotides) under uncultured bacterium. Its description in RNAcentral is "partial 16S ribosomal RNA". It matches the Rfam family "Bacterial small subunit ribosomal RNA", at positions 338 to 795 of the family's 1533-position model. The record is from RNAcentral.